RNAcentral lists this ribosomal RNA (301 nucleotides) under uncultured bacterium. RNAcentral describes it as "partial 16S ribosomal RNA". It matches the Rfam family "Bacterial small subunit ribosomal RNA", at positions 509 to 809 of the family's 1533-position model. The record is from RNAcentral.
CAGUCGCCGCGGGAAUACGGAGGGUGCAAGCGUUAAUCGGAAUUACUGGGCGUAAAGCGCACGCAGGCGGUUUGUUAAGUCAGAUGUGAAAUCCCCGGGCUCAACCUGGGAACUGCAUUUGAAACUGGCAAGCUAGAGUCUCGUAGAGGGGGGUAGAAUUCCAGGUGUAGCGGUGAAAUGCGUAGAGAUCUGGAGGAAUACCGGUGGCGAAGGCGGCCCCCUGGACGAAGACUGACGCUCAGGUGCGAAAGCGUGGGGAGCAAACAGGAUUAGAUACCCCAGUAGUCCCUGUCUCUUAUAU